This 459-nucleotide ribosomal RNA is filed under the name uncultured bacterium. Its description in RNAcentral is "SSU rRNA". It matches the Rfam family "Bacterial small subunit ribosomal RNA", at positions 26 to 518 of the family's 1533-position model. The record is from RNAcentral.
AGAAUCAACGCUGGCGGCGUGCCUAACACAUGCAAGUCGAACGAGAAAGGGACUUCGGUCCUGAGUAAAGUGGCGCACGGGUGAGUAACACGUGACUAACCUACCCUUGAGUGGGGAAUAACUUCGGGAAACCGAGGCUAAUACCGCAUAACACCUACGGGUCAAAGGAGCAAUUCGCUUAAGGAGGGGGUCGCGGCAGAUUAGCUAGUUGGCGGGGUAAUGGCCCACCAAGGCAGUGAUCUGUAUCCGGCCUGAGAGGGCGCACGGACACACUGGAACUGAAACACGGUCCAGACUCCUACGGGAGGCAGCAGUGGGGAAUUUGCGCAAUGGGGGAAACCCUGACGCAGCAACGCCGCGUGGAGGAUGAAGUCUCUUGGGACGUAAACUCCUUUCGAUCGGGACGAUAAUGACGGUACCGAGAGAAGAAGCCCCGGCUAACUUCGCGCCAGCAGCCGC